GACGAACGCUGGCGGCGCGCCUAACACAUGCAAGUCGAGCGGUCUUUGGGCGUCCGACCUUCGGGGAGGAAGCCCGAAGAUAGCGGCGAACGGGUGAGUAACGCGCGGGCAACCUACCCUUAAGACCGGGAUAACCUCGGGAAACCGGGGCUAAUACCGGAUACGCUCGUCCGGGGGCAUCCCUGGAUGAGGAAAGGGUUACCGCUUAAGGAUGGGCCCGCGUCCCAUUAGCUAGUUGGUGGGGUAACGGCCCACCAAGGCGACGAUGGGUAACCGGUCUGAGAGGGCGAACGGUCACACUGGAACUGAGACACGGUCCAGACUCCUACGGAGGCAGCAUG
RNAcentral lists this ribosomal RNA (341 nucleotides) under uncultured bacterium. RNAcentral's name for it is "bacterial SSU rRNA". It matches the Rfam family "Bacterial small subunit ribosomal RNA", at positions 28 to 355 of the family's 1533-position model. The record is from RNAcentral.